This 5970-nucleotide small RNA is filed under the name Pyricularia oryzae. RNAcentral's name for it is "Magnaporthe oryzae sRNA M_BR32_EuGene_00085311". Lineage: Eukaryota; Fungi; Ascomycota; Sordariomycetes; Magnaporthales; Pyriculariaceae. The record is from RNAcentral.
AUAUUUGCUAAAAUCCUAAAGUUUAAUUUUUCAGUUUGUGUUUUCGGGUUGACGAUGGAAUGAAUAGCUAGUAAAUAGACAGUAACGAGGUAUAAUGGUUUUCGUAAGUAAACGGGAGGUGGAUUAGGUACAGCGGCUAAAUAUUACCGGAAUAAUACCUAAAAACGCGUAACCUACUGGUUUGGCGAAAGCACUUGUAGGAUUAAUAUUAAUUGAGAUAGAAUUAAUGGUUUGAAAAUAGUUUUAACACCUAAUAAACGCGAGUUUAAUUUAUACCUUGGCCAGAUGGUUUGCGGCCACUGGUUGUAAAAAAGAGGUACACACUUAUUAUAAAAACGGUAAUGGGACGCAAACAAACACCAAUAUGGCAAAAGAUGCGUAUUAAUUAUAUGGAAGCUCGAUUCAGAAAUAUUAUUUUGCGGAGGUUCAAAAUUUUGGCAAAAGCAAAAUUGCAAAACCCUAGGUUGCCGUCCUUUUGGAAGGAUAGGGCAAAAGAACAAGAACAUUUGUUACCAGCGUCGAAAAUUUGGUUGAAAAAGUGGAAACCCAUCCUGAAAUUAUAAUAAUUAAAAUUAUGUUUUUUUUUGCAGGUUUCAAGCUGGAAAAACGACCAGCCCCUCCGCAUUCUACAAUUCAAAUUCGGACGAUUUUCCUUAAUAAACUUAUAUAAUCGAAGGUGACGUAAGAAUAUAGGGGCUUUUACCAAAAAUGGUCGUCGUUUAAACAAUCGUCCCACGCCACAUUAACGAUUUCGAUUUGGUAAAAUUUAUUUAAUUCCAUUAAAAUACGUUGCAGGGAAUAAAUAAUAGUUUCUUAUAUUUUUAUCCUAACACUUAUAAAUGGGUAUAUGGGGUUGGAGUUUAAAUAUAAAUAUAAUUCGUAUAUAAUCUUUUUAUAUGUUUCGACAGCAGAUAGCCUUAUUUUCCCCCAUUAUCAACUAUUUCUAAUUUCGAAGAUAAGCGUGCCGAAGCAAAAGGGCAAAGAUUUGAAGGAGGCGCAGGGAAGCGGAAAUUCCACCAUUAUCUGCAGCUGCGGAAAAUGCUUUAUAGCAAAGUUUUCAUUUGAACAGUAUUGGAGGGAUUCGCCCAAAUACAAAAAUAAGGUGCAGCCCAACGACUUUCCGAAGGUUGACCAGAAUAAGGCAAAUGUUUAGUACAGCAUUACUGUUAUUAGUUGCUGAUUUUUGUUUUCCAUUUCGGAAUUGAGAAAUUGUAAAAUAUUACUAACUAUUUCAAAUUUCAGAACCAGAUACGUAAUUGUAAUAAGGUAAAACCUUUUAUUUAGGUUGGUGUUUAUUUUAAAUAAUUCCAGGAUUAUGGGCGCACGUAUAAAAGUUAAUUAACAACAAUACGUAGGUUGUGAAAACGUCCAAGAAAGUUAUCGCGGGGGAUGACAGCGUUGAAACCAGUGAAAACGGGCCAAGAAAGAACCCAAAUAAGCGACGUUAAGAACAAAUAACCAAAUAUGAAAACAGCAAAUUAAAUUACUCGUGUGGUAGCGUUAGUGGUAUAAUUUUCCUCCCACGUCGCCCUGGCGGCUACAAUUCUAGCCCUGCGCAUUUCCCGAGUUCUGGAAGCAGAAACCGCAUAAUUCCAACGAAAUCCUAUGGCGGAGGUCGAUAUCUGGUCGGAGACUGUGGGUAUUAUAGCCAAUAUCUUGGCGUAAACCAUUUCUAAAAACGGGUUAGGAUAAUAAUAUUAUUACGUACGGAUAAGGUAGCCUGCUGCAACAGGAAGCAAAAAUUUCGCCGAUUAAAUUUUUUUAUCCCCUAUUUUAUAUUACAUACACGCGUUAACAGUAAUUUACUAUAUAGCCGUAACGCGCGCAUAUAUAUCCUGAGAAUUAAAACAUUUUCUGCUAUCGCAACUGGCUGCAAAUUGACAAAAACCAACAUUAUGUGGUUUUCCCAAACAUGCUUUUUAACCAUGCGGAGGAAUUUUAUAUAAAUAUAUUGGCCCGCACAAAAUAUGGGACGAGGUGUACAAUUUACUGGACAGCCGUUUUAACACUAAUGCGAAUUAUAAUAAGCAGGCGUUAUAAUUUUUUUUUUAAAUAGCAACCCGAAUGCGGUGGCGAUGGCGAUUAUAUAAUUAUCGGGUUAACCAAUCUCGCAUACCGGGAGCGAUUUGUAGUGAUAAAUAUAGUGCCAUUACCCUAAAGUAUUCCAGAUAAGGCGUUUUAGCGAAUGUUAUAAAUUUUUGACAAAUGGGCUGUUUUUAACAUAUAAUGGUUAAACUUUAAUUAAAGUCUCAAAUAGGAUGCGAAAAUGGAGCCGUCUAUAAUAUAUAAGUUGAAUUAUGGAACUUCGAUAGUUAGUCUGGCCUGGAAGGUGGCGCGUAAUAAAUAUUAUUAAAAAGACCUUAAAUCGGCUAAUCCGGCGCCGAUUAAAUUAAAAUUUAAAGUUUUCCCUCUUACCACAGCAAAACAGUAGCUCGGACUUAAAUUUGGCAAUUAGAAAAGUUGAGGAUUGAUAAAUUUGAGGUAAAAUAAACUCUUAUUAGCGAGAGUAUAAGUGCCGAUAUUCCCGCUAAUUUUAAAUUUAUUAAAAUUUAAAGGUAAUACCGUUUGAAGUUACCAACCGGAAAUAGGCCGGGAUCGCUGCUGUCGGCAAUUAGCGGUAGAAUCCGUAUAUUUUAGGAAGACUUUUUCCGGUCGGUGUAGGCGACGUACAGGUCGCUGGCGAUAGUUUAUUUUAUAUACGCGGGUGACGGCAAAAUUUGUUUGGGUUUAUAUACCUCCUCGCCAUCGACCCUGCGACGUUUCGGGUUUCUCUCGAUGGGGCUAGUUUCCCUGGUAAGAUCCCACCCAAAAAAUCCCAUUUAGUAUGGAAGCGAAAUUAAAAACAAAAGGUUAAUUACAAAUUUGUAGAAAUCGACAUAAUAUAUGCCGGGUCACCAAAUUGCUCCUCGCAUCUCUAACAUUUGCCACGUAUUUUCCACGUAUUUCCCACGACUUAGCAAUAUUAUAACCUUUUUUCCAAAUUCUAUAUAAUAUUUGGUCCAUCCCGAAUGUGAGAUUCUGGGAAGAUAUGGAGAGCAUUUCGAAGAAAAAGUAAAUUAAUUGAAAAUAUAGGUGUUUCGCCCAAACUAAUCGCAAAUUAAUUUAAUAUCGCCACGUUUAUUCCAUUCCGUUUUAUCGUUGGCCCGGCGAAACGAGAGUUUACCAUAUAUUCCUACCUUAUCGUUCACCAAUUUAUUGUUUUAAAAGUAUUGGUAAAAGGGGGAUUUAAAGAAGCAAUUAAAUAAUCGGUCGAAUGGGAUAACGUUAACGAGCUGAUUUUCGUUAGCUUUUGGUAUUUUAUUUACAGCGGAGAUUAUAAUAUUCCAAAGCAGCUCGUUUCGCCUGCAUUAAAAAUCUCCACCAAUCCCGUGAAGGCAGACGCGUUUGAAGCUUAGUCUGGUAAAUGCACCCAAAUCGAGCAGUUUUAACCUGAAAUUUUGGACCCAAACGAAGAAAGGUUAGUCGAACCUUUUGGGGUCGACAAUUGGGGCUCUUUCGCGUCAGUUAAAAAAUGUUGCAAAAAAUGCAAAUGUUGCAAAAAAAAGAACGCAUAUAAAUGGGGUGAAGAUAUUAUUACUGCAUAUACGGCUAUAAAGAGAAAAACAAACAGAGAAAUUUUAUGGGAUGAUUUUAAACGGUUAUGGCGCAUGGACCUUUCCGGCUUUACCAAAAACGGCAUAUUUGAUACAAAAGGCGGGCCGGACGCGGAUAUACUCAUUUACCAUUACUAAAUAUAUGUUCUAACAAAUCGCUAUGGAAUUAUUCGAUUAAUGGACGUGUUACUGCAAAAACUCCACCAAAUUUUGGUUAAAUCCAAAAUACCUAAGAACAACCUUAACGAUAUCGUGGCAUUGGUACGAUUUUGCUAUGGAGAAUUGGUUCCCGAAAAACUGAGACAAAUGGUAAUCCAUUAUAUUUCCUGUAACGUGGAAAGUUUGUGGAAGAUUAAGGAGUUUCAGGAGUUUUUGGAGGAAUAUGGCGGUUUGGCAAGGGUAUUUGUGGGGUCUAUAUUAUUAAAACUAAACUGAUGAAAUGUUACGGUUAAGGUAUCGGGUAACCUGUUCUUAUGGUAAAAUACAAUGGGUUGAAACAAUUAAGCGUUUAAAUUGGGUAACUGGGGUUUCUUAAUAAUUGGGGUGAAAUAAUAAUUAAUUGUAUAACGAGCUUAAUUGCUGCUAAACAAUCUUAAGCUAAACUCUAUUUACAUAGUAAUAAACGUCUUUUAUAUAAACUAAUAAUUAUUUCGUAUAAGUGAUUACGAUUACCUCUAAAUAAUCGCUAUUAGGGCUAAUUAUUUCCUUGGCGGUAAUCGUAACCACGCCGGUUUGGUAAUCGGGUUAGGGUUCCUUUAUUUUAUCGUUACGUGAUUCGGAGCUUCCUGUUCCUGUUUCUCGGUUCGUAUUUUUUGGUGGUUCCGGUUUGGGUUCCCGACACUUCUUCCUUUUUUUGCCCAAUAGUGUCAGCCCCAAUCCUGGUCGUAACAAUUGGUAUAAUUGUGCGAGUGUUAUCCUGUAACCUUGUAAUAAAUCAUUACACAAAAAGGAACUAGCUUAUUUAUAACUUGAACCUAGUCCGAAACUCGUCGUCCCGUAUAUAGGCAGAUAUUCUGGCAAAUAUAACCCCUUUUGGAAAGCCGGGAAAAUCGUCUGGCUGUGGGGGUCAAAUAAAAUAAAUGGAUGCGCAGUAAAGUUGCAAGGUGUUGCAGCAAAAGGCGUCUGUGGUUCGAUAAAUAAGGAUGGUUGGUUUUGGUCUAUGGUUUGAACCGGGAAAAGAGCAGGUAAUGCAGCAUUUGCAAUGGUCACGGGAGGUUGUCCGUAUAUUGUAUCGCCGGGCAGCCAGGUGGUAACGUCGGUCUAUGCAUCAGGAACGUCCAAAUUGCUUAAUUCAGUGGUCCUUAGGCUGACUUUUGCUCCUAUCCAAUUUGCAAUAUUUUGAAUAUUCGGAAAAGUUGGCUUCCCCCUAUUUUUCGACACGGGUCGGGCUUUUGCUGUAAAUGUGCAGGUUUUAUUUAACCGGAUACAGUUGCUGCAAUCUUUAGCGUCCUUAGGAGAAACCAUGCACCUGACUUUUCGCUUCCUUUUGUAAAGCUGGAGCAAAUCUGGGUGCUUGUUAUUGGCGGAACGGCUGAAACUCGGGAGCAAGCCAAAAGUUUAGGCUUUAACAAGGUCCUGAUAAUUAUCAUCAGAUUUUAUUAAUCGACACUGCGAAUAUAGUAUCUCCUUGGUAAAUGCUGCCCUAACGUGACCGCAAUUCCGUUUUGCACAUGGUUUUGGAUCCCGUAUUCACCUCCCAGGUUUGUGGAGCGCUAGUCGUUAUUGCUGGAGAAUUCGCCGUCCGACAAUCCGUUAUCUACCCAUCGACCACCGGAUGGUGCGUUGGUAGGUUUAAGAUUUUGCUGGGAUAAAAUUGUCCCAAUUAUUAAACGCCGAUUCGAAAGUAUUUGGUUCCGCAAUGGCUGCUGUUUUUUAUUAUUUAAUUGCAACAAAUUACUGGUGUUUGUUAAUGUGUAAAUUGUUUUUUAACGUUUCCCAUUUCCCCCGCUGGUGCCAAUAACCAUAUCUGGUUUACGCUUUAGAAGCACCUUAUAAUUCGACAUAAUUCUGUUAUUUUGGUGCUGGAAAUGGUUAUCCGAACAAGGAUAUACGCUCUGGUUCCGUGAAACGAUGCGCCCCAUAGAACGUUGCGGCGUCGGCGAGGCGUUCUUUGCAACGUUUGCUAAUAAAUAAAAUCCAUUUAAAGGAUUUGCGCCAUUAUUUUUCGGAUUCGCAGAAACAUUUAAAACGUAAUGUUAAAAUGUCGCAAUGGUUUUUGCCCUAAUAUCCAAUUUACCAGGGCUCAAAUUUGUUGUUGGGCUAUGUGAAACAAAUCCGGGGGAGGAAUUUGGGACUGUAGGUGUAGAUGGCUGGUAUUGGCCGACUAAAUUAAAAGGUUCAAAUAUAAUUCCCUACCAAAUUAUUAAUAUAAAAUUAU